Molecule: long non-coding RNA, 1190 nt
Organism: Gasterosteus aculeatus aculeatus (three-spined stickleback)
Lineage: Eukaryota; Metazoa; Chordata; Actinopteri; Perciformes; Gasterosteidae
Source: Ensembl
GUCCUGUGUGGAGCGCGGGGCGGGGCGCUGCUCUCCUGCGCGCGCUCAACAGGGAAUAAGCAGCCGCAUCUAGAUAGAGACGGCUUCGUCACGUGCCUUUCUUUCUUCUUUUUUCCCCCCCACCAAAUUACCAAAGUUUGGUGGACCUUUGGCCCUCACUGUGGAUGCGUGUUGUCCACUGUGAAUAACGCGUGGAAUAACGUGGAGAGCGCGCGAUGAGGUCAGUGGGCUGAAGCCCCGACAGGUGGAUUUGAGAUAUAUUUCAUUAAGGAAGACAGCAGGCGGAACAAGACGUCUUGAAGGAGGAGAGGAAGAUUUUCCCCGGUUGCAUGUGGGGCUCAGCGGACCAGUGUCCAGCUUGCCCACCCCCCACUCAAAGACCAACGCUAUUAGAGUCACUGAGGCUGCUUGACACAGAUAUGGAGAUAGAAAUAGCAACGGGGGGGACAGUCUGCCAGUUGCACAGGCCCAUGCGAGCACACACAGCAGAAGGCGAGCGGGACAGACGGUUAACAAAAAGCACGCGCGUAUUCCACAGAGAACCAAUUGAGCACAAACCUCGCUGUGUUUUCAGUCUCUCUCGCAGCCACGCAAGAAUGUAUGAUGUCAGGAAAGUGUGCAGCUCCCAGGGACAGUCGCCGUGGAUCAUUUACAGGCCGAAUGGCAAACAACAUGUGGAUGGUGAGCAUAAGCUCAUCCCGGAUAGCUGCUGUUUGGACACCAGAGCUUCCCGCUGAUAACUGCGCCAGUUUGCUCUUGAUGACAUUAACGACCAGACACCCUGUUGCAUGAGCAGUAAAAAAGCUUUGGGUAUGAUGCAUGUGCGCGCCCUUUUCCUCUGCAGUCCCCUUGAUGUGUUUAUUACAUUCACUUCAGUGCAGGGAAGGCCUUUGGCUGCAGAGCGACCGAAGGCUGGGGGUCCAUUACUUUUCACACAAAACUCUCCAUUGUUCCUCUCGCAAGUCCUACCACAGGGCAUUGUGGAAAGAACAGGGCAGGGGGGCGUGCGGGAGGGGGGGGUGUCCGAUUUCUCCAGAGAGGAUGGAGCGUUCGCUGUUUCCUGUUUUGCGCUCUCCGCUGGUGGAAGCUCUUCCUGUUCGGGAGCAGGAGGUCACCCAGAGGAACAAACGGCGCUGCCGUACAGGAUGCCGUCUCGUUCCCGGUCAUACGGUGCACAUUGUGUCCUGCAG